This 93-nucleotide signal recognition particle RNA is filed under the name Candidatus Blochmannia ocreatus (nom. nud.). RNAcentral's name for it is "Candidatus Blochmannia ocreatus signal recognition particle sRNA small type". The stretch from base 5 to 85 matches the Rfam family "Bacterial small signal recognition particle RNA". Rfam says of the family: The signal recognition particle (SRP) is a universally conserved ribonucleoprotein involved in the co-translational targeting of proteins to membranes. Archaeal SRP consists of a 7S RNA and homologues of the eukaryotic SRP19 and SRP54 proteins. The record is from RNAcentral. Lineage: Bacteria; Pseudomonadati; Pseudomonadota; Gammaproteobacteria; Enterobacterales; Enterobacteriaceae.
UAUGUAAUUUAAUAAUAAUAAUAUUUGUAAACCCGGUCAGGUCUGAAAAGAAGCAGCCGUAUCAAAGAAUUGUUUUAAACAUUUUACUUAACA